UACGGAGGGUGCAAGCGUUAUCCGGAUUCACUGGGUUUAAAGGGUGCGUAGGUGGGUUGGUAAGUCAGUGGUGAAAUCUCUGGGCUUAACCCGGAAAUUGCCAUUGAUACUAUAUAUCUUGAAUGCUGUGGAGGUAAGCGGAAUAUGUCAUGUAGCGGUGAAAUGCUUAGAUAUGACAUAGAACACCUAUUGCGAAGGCAGCUUACUACGCAGAUAUUGACGCUCAUGCACGCAAGCGUGGGGAUCAAACAGG
Molecule: ribosomal RNA, 253 nt
Filed under: uncultured bacterium
Lineage: Bacteria
Description: partial 16S ribosomal RNA
Rfam family: Bacterial small subunit ribosomal RNA
Source: RNAcentral